GACGUAGGGCGCGAGCGUUGUCCGGAUUUAUUGGGCGUAAAGCGCGUGUAGGCGGCCAGGUAGGUCCGUUGUGAAAACCCGAGGCUCAACCUCGGGACGUCGACGGAAACCAUCUGGCUAGAGUCCGGAAGAGGAGAGCGGAAUUCCCGGUGUAGCGGUGAAAUGCGUAGAUAUCGGAAGGAACACCAGUGGCGAAAGCGGCUCCCUGGUCCAGCACCGACGUUCAGGCACGAAAGCGUGGGGAGCAAACAGG
RNAcentral lists this ribosomal RNA (253 nucleotides) under uncultured bacterium. RNAcentral describes it as "partial 16S ribosomal RNA". It matches the Rfam family "Bacterial small subunit ribosomal RNA", at positions 524 to 776 of the family's 1533-position model. The record is from RNAcentral.